UCCAGCUUUGUAGUCAAAAUAAAAGUUACUGAAAGGCAGAUAUAAUCUAACAAUGUUAUAAUGAAUUCUUCUGUUUAUAUAAACCUAUUCAGUUUUCACAGGUCCUAAAUAUAAAUAAGUGAUGAAAUAACUUCAAGAAUAUUAAUAAAAGAUUUUGCUGAAGGUCAAGGCUACCAGUUUUACCAAAGAAUUUCUUCCUGUGAACUUAGCCAUUGAGUCAGUACCCCCUGUUGCAUCAUGAAGAGCCAAGACAGAUCGAGCUGGCAUCAAUC
Long non-coding RNA from Argiope bruennichi, 272 nucleotides. RefSeq lists it as uncharacterized. Lineage: Eukaryota; Metazoa; Arthropoda; Arachnida; Araneae; Araneidae. The transcript has 3 exons. The record is from RefSeq and is a predicted model, not a curated record.